RNAcentral lists this ribosomal RNA (117 nucleotides) under Nitrospirota bacterium. Lineage: Bacteria; Pseudomonadati; Nitrospirota. The record is from RNAcentral.
UCCGGUGGUUAUACUGGAGGGGCCACACCCGUUCCCAUUUCGAACACGGAAGUUAAGCCCUCCAAGGCCGAUGAUACUUUGACCGAGAGGUCAUGGGAAAGUAGGACGCCGCCGGGU